CCUACGGGUGGCAGCAGUGAGGAAUAUUGGUCAAUGGACGCAAGUCUGAACCAGCCAUGCCGCGUGCAGGAAGACUGCUCUAUGGGUUGUAAACUGCUUUUGUACGAGGGUAAACGCAGAUACGCGUAUCUCUCUGAAAGUAUCAUACGAAUACGGAUCGGCUAACUCCGUGCCAUCAGCCGCGGUAAUACGGAGGAUUCAAGCGUUAUCCGGAUUUAUUGGGUUUAAAGGGUGCGUAGGCGGUUGGAUAAGUUAGUGGUGAAAGGCUGAGGCUCAACUUCGGAAUUGCAUCUGAUACUGUUAGGCUAGAGAGUAGUUGCGGUAGGCGGAAUGUAUGGUGUAGCGGUGAAAUGCUUAGAGAGCAUACAGAACACCGAUUGCGAAGGCAGCUUACCAAGCUACUUCUGACGUUGAGGCACGAAAGCGUGGGGAGCAAACAGGAUUAGAUACCCUUGUAGUC
RNAcentral lists this ribosomal RNA (460 nucleotides) under uncultured bacterium. RNAcentral describes it as "partial 16S ribosomal RNA". It matches the Rfam family "Bacterial small subunit ribosomal RNA", at positions 338 to 795 of the family's 1533-position model. The record is from RNAcentral.